AAACGUAUGAUCUUCACGCCUGGGACAUUAACGGUCAGUACAGCAGCUCGCCUAACCUGGGACAUUAACGGUCAGUACAGCAGCUCGCCUAACCUGGGACAUUAACGGUCAAUACAGCAGCUCGCCUAACCUGGGACAUUAACGGUCAGUACAGCAGCUCGCCUAACCUGGGACAUUAACGGUCAAUACAGCAGCUCGCCUAACCAAAAAGCUUGAAUAGCAGCAGGAAACACAGUGAAAAGGGCGUGAAUUCUAGAAACAGAAAUAUCUAAAAGCAGCAGAAGUCAGAGAAGACUGGUCCUAUGUAACGGAAGCUGGAGAAUCACUUUAUUCCGGCUCCGAAAUUUAAGACGCUCAGAAAGUUGUUUUGAUAUUGGAACUACUGACUUCGAUAAUGACGAAAGCAGAUAUUUUAAAGACAGCCAGAUUACUACGCUCACUUCCUGUGAUAAGGCGCAUUGGACAAUAUACAGAGUAUGGUGCUGUCGUACUACUUUUGUUUAUGGUAUUAAUCCCACAAGUAGGACACUGGUUAGCUUACAAGUGUGUUUUAUGUCAUUGCAUACUGGGAGCAACUGCACUUGGAAAAAAAGCCGUAGGAUGGUUACAUAGUGUAGCCAGAAGUAUCAGUGAAGCUAACAUUGCCAACGUUACAGAUAGUUGACCCAGCAUAAAGGCGUAUUACAUCACAGCUUUUACGUUUACGUCACUGACGUCAAUAGGAUUCGGAAACGUGUCACCAAAUAACAACGGCGAAAACAUAUUCUCAAUAUUUGCUGUUCUGCUUGGAUCACUGCUGAGUGUCAACGGUGAGAGUGUAUCAUGAGACAGAUGAGUACCACGAGAAAAUGAAGAGUAUUAAAGAAACCAAAACAUUCAUCAUCAUCCGAAGAAUCUUGCAAACUGAUUGCACGAGUCCUUCUUACACACCUGGGCGUACACUAAUGGAAUUGACAUGAACAUGGUACAGUAUAUACAGAGUUUCUAUGAAUCAAGAGCGUUCAGUCUCAGUUUUAACUGAAGGUAGUUGCCCGUACUGACAAUCGGAAAUUUCCGUGUAUUUCCGUAAUACUCCGUGUGUGAUUUCGGAAUGCUUCUGUCGUGAUAGGAAAUUCCUUUUCAUAAGUACUGGAGAACACUGAAAUCGCAUACUGAUAAAACAUCAGUGAACGGAAAAUAUCGAAUGUCAUUUUUUAUAUUUCACCAAAGUUCGGAAAUAUUUUAUGUGUAAAGCCUAAAUUUUUCACUUCAUAAAGAGUCGAGUUUUGUUUUCUUUGGUUAUUGAUCGGACUAUAUAAAGAAUUAUUAUACCUCACAUAAAUAUCCAAUGCAAAUUUCCCAUUAGUUUAACUUGAAUAAUAUAUCAUAUUCCCCAGCAAUUUUAUAUCUCAUGCGCAAAAUCGUUAUUUUCAGUUUCUGCGCAUGUGAUAUGCUACAUAAUGAUAAUUUCAUAUCACCCGCGCAAAAGCGCUAUUUUGUUUUUCUGAGCAAGUGAUAUUAACUUUUCAGAUCUCCCGUUGAGUGAUUGAUACUUUUGCACUGAGUAAAAGACUGAGACGUUAACUUUUCAGAAGAUGUGCUUUUAUAAUUUAGGAUUAAAUUUCUUUCAUUUGUGAACUCGGCCGAUUUUUCUUUUAUUAAUGAUUUGUUCUACGUGCAAAAAAAUUCGAAAACAACUUUUUUAUCAAAUAUUGAAUCGAAACUAUUUCCAUGAGAUUGGAAAUGAUCUAACUAAGAAAAUAAGUGCUCACACAUAUAUGUUUCGUUUAGAAAUAAUAUAGUUAUCGCCGUUUUUCGAAUGUUACUGCUAGCGAUGUUGAAAUGAUUAUGCGCAUCAUGAAACAUAGGAUUCAGCGAUAUGCAAACGUCUCGACUAAAUCUAUCAAAAAUGUCUUAUUACACAGAAGAGUUGCCACCGGAGUGCUAACAGGUAAGCACUCCUUAAUUCAGUCUCCAUUAUUUGGUAAUUCAUUUUUAACGUUAGAUAAAUCAUUUAAAUCAUUAUGUUGAUUUUACAGUAAAUGUUUGACCUUUAAUGUCAUUUCGGUAUAAUAAAAUAUAUAUUGCAUUCCUAAGAGGGUGAUAUGAAAAAUGUUCACCCUCGAAAUAUGAAUAUAGACCUUGGCUGUCGCCUCGGUCGAUAUUCGUAUAUCUCGUAUAGCCUGUAAUAAGAUGUCAUAAUCAAUCUUAACCUCGGAGGGGUCAGAUUGUCUAUCUAUAAUGAGUGUAAUUGAUUGACACUAAAUAUCUUUAUACGACAAAAGAGGUCACAAAUGCAAUCACAAGGACAGAACAUUAAUUCAAAAGGUUUAUUCAGUUGUACAUCAUUAAAUUUCAAAUAACU
Molecule: long non-coding RNA, 2344 nt
Organism: Mercenaria mercenaria
Lineage: Eukaryota; Metazoa; Mollusca; Bivalvia; Venerida; Veneridae
Exons: 4
Source: RefSeq, a predicted model, not a curated record